RNAcentral lists this ribosomal RNA (253 nucleotides) under uncultured bacterium. RNAcentral describes it as "partial 16S ribosomal RNA". It matches the Rfam family "Bacterial small subunit ribosomal RNA", at positions 524 to 776 of the family's 1533-position model. The record is from RNAcentral.
GACAGAGGGUGCAAACGUUGCUCGGAAUUACUGGGCGUAAAGCGCGUGUAGGCGGCAUCGUACGUCGGGUGUGAAAGCCCGGGGCUCAACCCCGGAAGGGCACACGAUACGGCGACGCUGGAGGCUUGAAGAGGAGAGCGGAAUUCCCGGUGUAGAGAUGAAAUUCGUAGAUAUCGGGAGGAACACCAGUGGCGAAGGCGGCUCUCUGGACAAGUACUGACGCUGAGACGCGAAAGCGUGGGUAGCAAACAGG